GACGAACGCUGGCGGCGUGCUUAACACAUGCAAGUCGAACGGAAAGGCCUCUUUCGGGGGGUACUCGAGUGGCGAACGGGUGAGUAACACGUGAGUAACCUGCCCUUGACUUUGGGAUAACUUCAGGAAACUGGGGCUAAUACCGGAUAGGAGCUCCUGCUGCAUGGUGGGGGUUGGAAAGUUUCGGCGGUUGGGGAUGGACUCGCGGCUUAUCAGCUUGUUGGUGGGGUAGUGGCUUACCAAGGCUUCGACGGGUAGCCGGCCUGAGAGGGUGACCGGCCACAUUGGGACUGAGAUACGGCCCAGACUCCUACGGGAGGCAGCAGUGGGGAAUAUUGCACAAUGGGUGGAAGCCUGAUGCAGCAACGCCGUGUGCGGGAUGACGGCCUUCGGGUUGUAAACCGCUUUCGCUCAUGACGAAGCUUUGUGUGACGGUAGUGGGUAAGAAGCACCGGCUAACUACGUG
Molecule: ribosomal RNA, 466 nt
Filed under: uncultured bacterium
Lineage: Bacteria
Description: partial 16S ribosomal RNA
Rfam family: Bacterial small subunit ribosomal RNA
Source: RNAcentral